Molecule: transfer RNA, 83 nt
Filed under: Lachnospiraceae bacterium
Lineage: Bacteria; Bacillati; Bacillota; Clostridia; Lachnospirales; Lachnospiraceae
Description: tRNA-Leu
Rfam family: tRNA
About the family: Transfer RNA (tRNA) molecules are approximately 80 nucleotides in length.
Source: RNAcentral
GCGGAUGUGGCGGAAUGGCAGACGCAUCAGACUCAAAAUCUGACGGUGGUGACAUCGUAUGGGUUCAAGUCCCAUUAUCCGCA